CAAUCUGCCCUUCACCUUUGGGAUAACUCCGGGAAACCGGUGCUAAUACCGAAUGCGACCACUUCAGGCAUCUGACGGUGGUGGAAAGUUCCGGCGGUGAAGGAUGAGCUCGCGGCCUAUCAGCUUGUUGGUGAGGUAAUGGCUCACCAAGGCUUCGACGGGUAGCCGGCCUGAGAGGGUGACCGGCCACGCUGGGACUGAGACACGGCCCAGACUCCUACGGGAGGCAGCAGUGGGGAAUAUUGGACAAUGGGCGAAAGCCUGAUCCAGCAACGCCGCGUGAGGGAUGACGGCCUUCGGGUUGUAAACCUCUUUCAGCAGGGACGAAGCGAAAGUGACGGUACCUGCAAAAGAAGCACCGGCCAACUACGUG
RNAcentral lists this ribosomal RNA (373 nucleotides) under uncultured bacterium. RNAcentral's name for it is "bacterial SSU rRNA". It matches the Rfam family "Bacterial small subunit ribosomal RNA", at positions 122 to 507 of the family's 1533-position model. The record is from RNAcentral.